GCUUUCGGGGUGUAACAGUAGCACGCUCAGCACGAAUUCAAAAGAUCCAGGUUCGAAUCCCGGCGAGAGCA
Molecule: transfer RNA, 71 nt
Filed under: Stegodyphus mimosarum
Lineage: Eukaryota; Metazoa; Arthropoda; Arachnida; Araneae; Eresidae
Rfam family: tRNA
About the family: Transfer RNA (tRNA) molecules are approximately 80 nucleotides in length. Their secondary structure includes four short double-helical elements and three loops (D, anti-codon, and T loops).
Source: Rfam by way of RNAcentral